CCUACGGGCGGCAGCAGUGGGGGAUAUUGCACAAUGGGGGGAACCCUGAUGCAGCGACGCCGCGUGGGUGAAGGAGUGCUUCGGCAUGUAAAGCCCUAUCGGCAGGGAAGAAGCAAGACGGUACCUGACUAAGAAGCCCCGGCUAACUACGUGCCAGCAGCCGCGGUAAUACGUAGGGGGCGAGCGUUAUCCGGAUUCACUGGGUGUAAAGGGAGCGUAGACGGCCAUGCAAGCCAGGGGUGAAAGCCCGGGGCCCAACCCCGGGACUGCCCUUGGAACUGCAUGGCUGGAGUGCGGGAGGGGCAGGCGGAAUUCCUGGUGUAGCGGUGAAAUGCGUAGAUAUCAGGAGGAACACCGGCGGCGAAGGCGGCCUGCUGGACCGCGACUGACGUUGAGGCUCGAAAGCGUGGGGAGCGAACAGGAUUAGAUACCCGGGUA
Molecule: ribosomal RNA, 438 nt
Filed under: uncultured bacterium
Lineage: Bacteria
Description: bacterial SSU rRNA
Rfam family: Bacterial small subunit ribosomal RNA
Source: RNAcentral